Molecule: ribosomal RNA, 253 nt
Filed under: uncultured bacterium
Lineage: Bacteria
Description: partial 16S ribosomal RNA
Rfam family: Bacterial small subunit ribosomal RNA
Source: RNAcentral
CACGUAGGGUGCGAGCGUUGUCCGGAAUUAUUGGGCGUAAAGAGCUCGUAGGCGGCUCGUCGCGUCGACCGUGAAAACCCGCGGCUUAACCGCGGGCUUGCGGUUGAUACGGGCGGGCUAGAGUUCGGUAGGGGAGACUGGAAUUCCUGGUGUAGCGGUGAAAUGCGCAGAUAUCAGGAGGAACACCGGUGGCGAAGGCGGGUCUCUGGGCCGAUACUGACGCUGAGGAGCGAAAGCGUGGGGAGCGAACAGG